RNAcentral lists this long non-coding RNA (2207 nucleotides) under Bactrocera latifrons. Its description in RNAcentral is "uncharacterized LOC108967190". The record is from RNAcentral. Lineage: Eukaryota; Metazoa; Arthropoda; Insecta; Diptera; Tephritidae.
GGACAGCUGUCAUUCAGGCAAUUAAAAGAAGAGAAAGUGUCAAAAGUGAUUAGUGUUGAUUAAAAAAAAGUGUCGCUUAAGAAGUAUAACUGAUAAUAAUAUAAUAAAAAUGGACAUUGGAACCUUUUUUAAUAAUACUACAAGUACGUAAUAGUUGACUUAAGUUAUUGCAUUACACUUUUUAAUGAUACAUAUGUUCUUAUUGCAACGAGAUUGAAGAGGAGGCUGAGCUUAAAUGAUAGCAUCUCAACUGAAGAGAGGUACGCGGCAGAUAUGAAGGCGGAUGAUUGCCAUGCCAACGAUAUUGGCAAAUGGGUGGCUUUAGUCGGUACGAUGAGUGAGGAGCAGAAAAAGUAACUGUUGGUUAGUUGUUGGAAGCCCGACCAAAAUUAUAAUUUUUCAACUGAUGCAACACACUUGAAGAGAAAAUUCAAUUGGUCAUGAUUAGAUUUAUACAAACCAUGGUUGGUGUACUCGUGCAGGCUAAAGGGCGCUUUUUGUCUUUAUUGCGUGCUGUUUAAGCCUCUCAACAAACUUGGCGUAACUUCCUCGUUUGUUGUACGCCCUUUUACAAAAUUUAAAAAUGUGCAUGAGUACUGCAAAGCUCAUGCAUCAAGCAGUUUGCAUAAAGGAGCUACGCAAUCAACAAUGUCAUUUUUAAAUGAAACUCCUGUCGAUUUGCAAAUGCAACGGGGUCAUCCAAAAAAAAAUUGAACGAAAUAAAAAAAUUAAUAAAUCCAUUAUAAAUACAAUUUUGUUUUGUGGAACGCAUGACCUUACUCUUCGUGGCAAAAAGAAUGAUGAAGGGUGUUCUAUAUGAUCUGCUUAUGAUGAGUUGGUGAUGAGGCAUUAAAAAACAAUUUGGAGGAUAGCAAACAAAACGCAAAGUAUACUAGUCCACAAAUCCAAAAUGAAAUUUUGGACAUUUCGGCGAAAGUAAUUAUAAAUUACAUCUGCACAGCAGACAUGUCUGGAAAGGAACAAAUUUCGAUAGGAAUUCGAUUUUUUGACAGCAGAAAAAAAAUUAUCCGUGAAGAAUUUAUGGGAUUUAUGGAAUUAGAUGCAAUGGAUGCAGCAACAAUUGUAGCCAACAUCAAAGGAUUUGUGGAAGGUUUUGACUUAGAUCCUGCUAAAUGUGUUGGGCUUGGGUUUGAUGGAUGUGCUACUAUGGCCGGCAAUACUAGUGGGGUGCAUAAAAUAUUAUACAUUCCAAAAAAGUUGUUAUAUUCAUUGCGCCAGUCAUUGCCUCAAUUUGUACAUUCUUUGUUUGAAACACGCUGGUCGUAGAAGUACAAAAGCAUCGCUGAUUUUUAAAAUUUCUAUUGUGAUAUAAUAGAUGGAUUGGAAAAACUAAGCACAGAAGGAAACGCUGGCACGAGAAAAUUUGCAUUCCAACUUCACAGUGCUGCAACUAAAAGCGUUUUUCUUAUUUGUAUGUUCAUUAUUGCCAAAUAUUACAGCAUUCUCCAACCCGUAGUGAAUAUAUUGCAAGCCAAGAACAAUGAUGUGAUUAAAUGUAGAGAUCACAUCAAUAACAUUUUAAAUUUAUUUGAGGAACAUCGAGAGACAUCUGCCAGCGAAUUUGAAACGAUUUUUAGAGACUGUGAAAUGUUAGCUGAGAAUGCAUCGAUCAAUAUAAGUGUGUCCAGAGUCGGCGAGAAGCAAACAAAAAGAUCAAAUCCUCCAUUCACGACAACAGCAGAGUAUUAUCGCCGGGCAAUUUUCAUUCCCUAUUUGGACUCUUUAAUAACAUCUAUUAGAGAACGAUUUCCUAAAGAAAACACUCCAACUUUUGAUCUCGCAGCCUUAAGUCCACUGCAUAUGAAANCUAUCUCUCUAAGCGAAUUCAAUGAAAAAGUUUUGCGUGCAAGUUCUUUUUACAAUAUAAAAAAUAUUGAAAAUGAGCUUAAACUUUAUUAAAAAUAUUGGAAAGAUAGAGGAAAAGGGAGGGACUUGGAAUUCUGUUCGCAAUUCCCUGCACAACUGCCACUGUUGAACGGUCGAGGGAAUCGGUUGAAUGGAUUGUGCAUGCUUAGCACCCGCCGGGCUUUAGUCAAAGAGAAUCAAGCGGAAAUGGAAACGAAAAUUCUGGAGGAGUUUUCACCGAAUCCAAGAAAACUUUAAUUAGCAUGAAAUGUAUAAAAAUAAUAUAAAAAAGUUACUGGAAUUAAAAAAUUUUUUCAGCCCCACCCUACAUGCGGACCCUU